GAUGAACGCUAGCGGCAGGCUUAACACAUGCAAGUCGAGGGGCAACACGGGUAGCAAUACCUGGUGGCGACCGGCGCAAGGGUGCGUAACGCGUGAGCAACAUGCCCUAUACAGGGGGGAUAAUCCAGGGAAACUUGGUCUAAUAUCCCAUAGUAUUUAGAGGUGGCAUCACCACUAAAUUAAAGCUUCGGUAGUAUAGGAUUGGCUCGCGUGACAUUAGCUGGAUGGUGGGGUAACGGCUCACCAUGGCGAUGAUGUCUAGGGGUUCUGAGAGGAAGACCCCCCCACACUGGGACUGAGACACGGCCCAGACUCCUACGGGAGGCAGCAGUGAGGAAUAUUGGACAAUGGAUGGAAAUCUGAUCCAGCCAUGCCGCGUGCAGGAAGAAGGCCUUCGGGUUGUAAACUGCUUUUGUACGGAACGAAACGGCUCUCUCUAAUACAGGGGCUAAUGACGGUACCGUAAGAAUAAGCACCGGCUAACUACGUGCCAGCACCGC
RNAcentral lists this ribosomal RNA (500 nucleotides) under uncultured bacterium. RNAcentral's name for it is "bacterial SSU rRNA". It matches the Rfam family "Bacterial small subunit ribosomal RNA", at positions 28 to 518 of the family's 1533-position model. The record is from RNAcentral.